GACGAACGCUGGCGGCGUGCUUAACACAUGCAAGUGGUGCGACGAACCAGGCUUCGGCCUGGGGCGAAGCCGCGAACGGGUGAGUAACACGUGGGCAAUCUGCCCCUUUGAUCGGGACAACCCGGGGAAACCCGGGCUAAUACCGAAUGAGGUGGCGACUCAUGAGAGUCGUCACGAAAGGAAGCUUCGGCCUCCGCGAAGGGAUGAGCCCGCGGCCCAUUAGCUUGUUGGUGGGGUAAAGGCUCACCAGGGCGACGACGGGUAGCCGGCCGGAGAGGGGGACCGGCCAGACGGGGACUGAGACACGGCCGAGACUCCGACGGGAGGCAGCAGUGGGGAAGAUUGCCCAAUGGGCGCAAGCCUGAUGCAGCAACGCCGCGUGAGGGAUGACGGCCUUCGGGUUGUAAACCUCUUUCAGCACCGACGAAGCGUAAGUGACGGUAGGUGCAGAAGAAGGACCGGCCAACUACGUGCCAGCCGCCGCCGUAA
RNAcentral lists this ribosomal RNA (489 nucleotides) under uncultured bacterium. RNAcentral's name for it is "partial 16S ribosomal RNA". It matches the Rfam family "Bacterial small subunit ribosomal RNA", at positions 28 to 523 of the family's 1533-position model. The record is from RNAcentral.